This 103-nucleotide small nuclear RNA is filed under the name Mus spretus (western wild mouse). Lineage: Eukaryota; Metazoa; Chordata; Mammalia; Rodentia; Muridae. The record is from RNAcentral.
GCUCCCUUCAGCAGCACAUAUACUAAAAACUGGAAUAGUACAGAGAUUAGCAAGGCCUCUGUGUAAGGAUGAGAUGCAAAUUCAUAAAGUGUUCCAUAUUUUU